UGCAGAAUCCCGUGAACCAUCGAGUCUUUGAACGCAAGUUGCGCCC
Molecule: ribosomal RNA, 46 nt
Filed under: Crataegus gaylussacia
Lineage: Eukaryota; Viridiplantae; Streptophyta; Magnoliopsida; Rosales; Rosaceae
Description: partial 5.8S ribosomal RNA
Source: RNAcentral